UACAGAGGUCCCAAGCGUUGUUCGGAUUCAUUGGGCGUAAAGGGUGCGUAGGCGGCGCGGUAAGUCGGGUGUGAAAUCUCGGGGCUUAACUCCGAAACUGCAUUCGAUACUGCCGUGCUUGAGGACUGGAGAGGAGACUGGAAUUUACGGUGUAGCGGUGAAAUGCGUAGAUAUCGUAAGGAAGACCAGUGGCGAAGGCGGGUCUCUGGACAGUUCCUGACGCUGAGGCGCGAAAGCGUGGGUAGCAAACAGG
RNAcentral lists this ribosomal RNA (253 nucleotides) under uncultured bacterium. RNAcentral describes it as "partial 16S ribosomal RNA". It matches the Rfam family "Bacterial small subunit ribosomal RNA", at positions 524 to 776 of the family's 1533-position model. The record is from RNAcentral.